UCACAAUCCAAAAUCUUCAGCCAUUUUUUAAAAACUUGUUUUAGCUGUAUGCUUCAGCUAUAAAGCAGUGGAUGAACAGAUGCUAUUUAUCUGGAACCACUGGCUUUGCCAAUAUUUUUUAAGUUAGAACUAUUUCUAUUGUUCUAUUUCCUCUUUUUUUAACUGUGAUACAACACACAUAAAAUUUACCACUACUGACAUCCAGUACACUGUUGUGCGAUUUGCCAAUAUGCUGCCAGACUACUUAUCCUAAAAAUCGUCAAAUAUAAUGCACAGAAUGGAAGGAAAAAAAGGUAAAGGUUAUUAACCUUAAAAUGUCUCUCAAGAAAAAGGAAAAAUAACUUCUUCAUUCUCAAAUUUUAU
This 363-nucleotide long non-coding RNA is filed under the name Bos taurus (domestic cattle). RNAcentral describes it as "long non-coding RNA NONBTAT000962". The record is from RNAcentral. Lineage: Eukaryota; Metazoa; Chordata; Mammalia; Artiodactyla; Bovidae.